CCUACGGGAGGCAGCAGUAGGGAAUAUUGCGCAAUGGGGGAAACCCUGACGCAGCAACGCCGCGUGAUCGAUGAAGCCCUUCGGGGUGUAAAGAUCUGUCAGUGGGGACGAAAACUGACGGUACCCACAGAGGAAGCACCGGCUAACUCGGUGCCAGCAGCCGCGGUAAUACGGGGGGUGCACGCGUUGUCCGGAAUCAUUGGGCGUAACGAGUUCGUAGGUGGCACGUUAAGUCUGGUGUUAAAGGCGGAAGCUAAACUUCAGUAGGGCACUGGAUACUGGCGAGCUUGAAUGCGGUAGAGGUAAAGGGAAUUCCUGGUGUAGCGGUGAAGUGCGUAGAUAGCAGGAGGAACAUCGGUGGCGUGAGCGCUUUACUGGGCCGUAAUUGACACUGAGGAGCGAGAGCCGGGGUAGCAAAUGGGAUUAGAUACCCCUGUUC
Molecule: ribosomal RNA, 439 nt
Filed under: uncultured bacterium
Lineage: Bacteria
Description: partial 16S ribosomal RNA
Rfam family: Bacterial small subunit ribosomal RNA
Source: RNAcentral